Molecule: long non-coding RNA, 916 nt
Filed under: Anser brachyrhynchus (Pink-footed goose)
Lineage: Eukaryota; Metazoa; Chordata; Aves; Anseriformes; Anatidae
Description: lncRNA (ENSABRG00000003697.1)
Source: RNAcentral
UCUGCUCUGGGCUACACAAACCAAGAGACCUCAGCUGCUCCUCACACGCCUUCCCCUCCAGACCAUCUCUGUAGCCCUCGUUUGGAUGAUUUCUAGUAGUUUUAUAUCCUUCUUAUAUUGUGGCACCCAAAACUGCACACAGCACUCGAGGUGAGGCCAUAUAGCACAGAGUAGAGUGGGACAAUCACUCAAUCACUUCCCUCAACCAGCUAGCAAUUCUGUGAUCCUAUGAUACCAUGAACUGUAGUUAAAAAAAAAAAAAAAGAGAGAAAGGACAACAGAAAGAAAGAGGGUACACACACACACAAAAUAAUGUUUUAGAGGCUUACUCAAAGUUAAAAUGUAAUUCUAUCACCUUCUGAUUAAUUUUCACCUUUUCCAAGUCAUCUGGUCUUAAUCUGCUACUGGAUGUGAAACUCUUACUUCACUCUGGAGCCCUCUACCCUUCCAACAUGACAGCCACUGAAAGACAACUGCUUCCUUUAUUUUCCUGAAAAGAAGUUUACCAGGAGAGAAAAAUAAGCAUUUUAUCAAGAGAGAAAAACAAACAUUUGCACAUGCACAGACACUUUCACAGGCAGAGAUGACCAGAAUUUUUUCUUUUAGUUGAUUCCAUACCAGAAGCCAAACUACGACUGUCUAAUAUGCACAUGGAGCAUGGAGGCAAAAUUGGUUCUGACAAUUCUGUUACAACACCUGACUGUUACGGGCAGAACCACCCUGCAAGAGAACAGGAACAAUCAGUACUAUGAACCAUCAGGACUACAUGAGCCUACUGACAGCUUAAGUUGGGAAUUCAGAAAUGUUCUGCAGAUCCUAUCAAGAACUUUAACAUGCUACCACCUUUUUUUCUUUUCACCCUGGAUAGAAAUAGAUUGACAAUUUCCUGUUGAAUGGAAGUGACACUUGCUCAGGC